This 1240-nucleotide ribosomal RNA is filed under the name metagenome. Its description in RNAcentral is "bacterial LSU rRNA". It matches the Rfam family "Bacterial large subunit ribosomal RNA", at positions 1564 to 2815 of the family's 2925-position model. The record is from RNAcentral.
UGAUGACGAGACGCUAAGGCGUUGAAGCAGUGUAUGUCAGACUUCCAAGAAAAGCUCGCAAUGUCACAAAUAAAAAUGCCUGUACCAUAACCGACACAGGUGGGUAGGUAGAGUAUACUAAGGGGCGCGAGAUAACUCUCUCUAAGGAACUCGGCAAAAUGACUCCGUAACUUCGGGAGAAGGAGUGCCUUAUUUAUAAGGUUGCAAUAACAAGAUCCAAGCAACUGUUUAUCAAAAACACAGGUCUCCGCUAAGUCGUAAGACGAUGUAUGGGGGCUGACGCCUGCCCAGUGCCAGAAGGUUAAAGAAGUUGGUUAGUGUAUGCGAAGCUGAUGACUGAAGCCCUGGUGAACGGCGGCCGUAACGAUAACGGUCCUAAGGUAGCGAAAUUCCUUGUCGGGUAAGUUCCGACCCGCACGAAAGGCGUAAUGAUUUGGAUACUGUCUCGGAGAGAGGCUCGGUGAAAUAGACUUGUCUGUGAAGAUGCGGACUACCUGCACCAGGACAGAAAGACCCUAUGAAGCUUUACUGUAACUUGAAAUUGGAAUUGGACUUUGCUUGCGCAGUAUAGGUGGGAAGCGUUGAAAAUAUUCUUGCGGGAGUAUUGGAGCUAUCAGUGAGAUACCACUCUUGUAAUGUUAGAUUUCUAACUUUGAACCAUAAUCUGGUCAAAGAACAGUUUCAGGUGGGCAGUUUGACUGGGGCGGUCGCCUCCCAAAUGGUAACGGAGGCGUACAAAGGUUUCCUCUGAACGGAUAGAAAUCGUAUCUAGAGUGUAAAGGCAUAAGGAAGCUUGACUGUGAGACCUACAAGUCGAGCAGGGACGAAAGUCGGUCUUAGUGAUCUGACGGUACUGAGUGGAAAGGCCGUCACUCAACGGAUAAAAGUUACUCUAGGAUAACAGGCUGAUCUCCCCCAAGAGUUCACAUCGACGGGGAGGUUUGGCACCUCGAUGUCGGCUCAUCGCAUCCUGGGGCGGUAGUACGUCCCAAGGGUUGGGCUGUUCGCCCAUGAAAGCGGUACGCGAGCUGGGUUCAGAACGUCGUGAGACAGUUCGGUCCAUAUCCGGUGUAGGCGCUAGAAUAUUGAGAGGAGCCUUCUUUAGUACGAGAGGACCGAGAAGGACACACCGCUGGUGUACCAGUUAUCGUGCCAACGGUAAACGCUGGGUAGCUAUGUGUGGAGUGGAUAACCGCUGAAAGCAUCUAAGUGGGAAGCCCACCUCGAGAUGAGUAUUCCC